GUCAAGGUGGUGCAGUUGGUUAUAACUCCUAAGUCACACGUAAGAGGUCCUCUGUUCGAACCAGGGCGCGGUCA
Molecule: transfer RNA, 74 nt
Filed under: Salix viminalis (osier)
Lineage: Eukaryota; Viridiplantae; Streptophyta; Magnoliopsida; Malpighiales; Salicaceae
Source: RNAcentral